AUACGGAGGAUGCAAGCGUUAUCCGGAUUUAUUGGGUUUAAAGGGUGCGUAGGCGGUUUGCUAAGCGGGAGGUGAAAUGCCGGCGCUCAACGUCGGAAGUGCCUCCCGAACUGGUGGACUGGAAUGACUCUGCCGUGGGAGGAAUGUGUAGUGUAGCGGUGAAAUGCUUAGAGAUUACACAGAACACCGAUUGCGAAGGCAUCGCACGAAGGGUUGAUUGACGCUGAGGCACGAAAGCGUGGGGAUCAAACAGGAUUAGAUACCCUGGUAGUCCACGCAGUAAACGAUGAUGGCUAACCGCUGGGCUUAUCAGUUCAGUGGCCAAGCGAAAGCGAUAAGCCAUCCACCUGGGGAGUACGACCGCAAGGUUGAAACAAAAAGGAAUUGACGGGG
This 393-nucleotide ribosomal RNA is filed under the name uncultured bacterium. RNAcentral's name for it is "partial 16S ribosomal RNA". It matches the Rfam family "Bacterial small subunit ribosomal RNA", at positions 523 to 918 of the family's 1533-position model. The record is from RNAcentral.